RNAcentral lists this ribosomal RNA (857 nucleotides) under Gynichthys diakidnus. RNAcentral's name for it is "eukaryotic LSU rRNA". It matches the Rfam family "Eukaryotic large subunit ribosomal RNA", at positions 89 to 610 of the family's 3401-position model. The record is from RNAcentral. Lineage: Eukaryota; Metazoa; Platyhelminthes; Trematoda; Opisthorchiida; Cryptogonimidae.
GCGAGUGAACAGGGAAGAGCCCAGCACCGAAGCCUGUGGCCAGUUGGCUACUAGGCAAUGUGGUGUUUAGGUCGUUCCUUGAGGGUGCUGCCUCACUCCAAGUCCAGCAAUGAGUACGGUAAUAUUGACUUGGCCCAGAGAGGGUGAAAGGCCCGUGGGAGUGAGGUCGCAGACAUGCCAGUGCCUUCCUGGAUAGACCUUGGAGUCGGGUUGUUUGUGAAUGCAGCCCAAAGUGGGUGGUAAACUCCAUCCAAGGCUAAAUACUAACACGAGUCCGAUAGCGAACAAGUACCGUGAGGGAAAGUUGAAAAGUACUUUGAAGAGAGAGUAAACAGUGCGUGAAACCGCUCAGAGGUAAACGGGUGGAGUUGAACUGUGAUCUCUGUGGAUUUAGCUGAUGAGCAUGCUUUGAGCUUGGUCAAAUUGGUUGUCAUUCGGAAUCUGCUUAGCCGCAGGUCCUUGCCUUCGGGUGGGGAUGCGCGAUGCAUUCAUCAGGUGCUGCGCGUUCUAUGUAUUUCGUACCUGCUCGUCAGUGCACUUUCACAGAGUGUUCACCACGACCGACAUCGGCUGUCUGGCUGUUGUGGUUAAACCGGCCUUACUUAGUCCUUGUGGCUUUGAAUUGUCGGGAUGGCAGGUGGCCCAAUUGACGUUCCUGUGGUUCGCUGCAGGUUUCCGGCCCUUGGGUGUUACUAGCUGACUACAUCGGUUCUGUGCAGUAUGUCGGAGACGGCGGCUUGUGGUACAUGCGUGCGUACUAGUUGGUUGGCGUGUCCGGGUUUGGUUGUUAUGUUGCUUGUGUUUACAGGCCUGAUGAUAGCCCGGGUUCGUUCGACUGGCAGUUGCGUGCGUAGUGC